CUUUAUCUCAGAAUCGUCUCCAAAACUAUGAAGUCUCAAAUUAAAAAAAAAAUAUAUCCUAAAUACAAAUUCAUGGUUUAUAAAUCUUAAAAAACCUUCCAUUAUCUUAUAGAAUCUCCUCCUAAACACGGUAGAGAAAAAUGUUAGAAUCAUUCCUUUUUAUUGCACAACAUGAAGAUGGACGCAAAGAACAAGUAGAGAUAUCUGCAACUUUAAGCAAGCUGCAAUAUUGUCCUGUAGAUUAUGCCUUUGAUUCACAAAGUAUCCAACUGAAAAGCAAUUAAAUGAGAUCAUAUCUUAGAUUUUGCUUUCUCAAUGAGCUCUCGUCUGAGGAUUUUUCCUGCAGCUGAUUUAGGAACACUGUUGAUGAAAUUCACCCUUCGUAAUCUUUUGAAAGGUGCAACCUGCAACAGAAAGAGAAAUAAGUUAAAAUAUGCAUAGCAGAAAGUUUUGGCACUAAGAAGCUGCCCCUAUUGUUGUGCAGGAGCUAAUGAAAAUGCAGAGGUGCAUUUCUUCCAUAUUCAGUAAGUGCAUUCACAGGCAUUUCAACCUCUGGAGGAUAACAGCAUAAGCAAAUUGCAAAACUGCCAGCUUUUUCAGUUCUUUUUCUAACGGAAUACAACAAACAAUAACAACUAAAU
This 641-nucleotide unclassified non-coding RNA is filed under the name Hevea brasiliensis (rubber tree). Lineage: Eukaryota; Viridiplantae; Streptophyta; Magnoliopsida; Malpighiales; Euphorbiaceae. The record is from RNAcentral.